RNAcentral lists this long non-coding RNA (36571 nucleotides) under Daucus carota (carrot). RNAcentral's name for it is "long non-coding RNA (DCAR_LNC001788)". The record is from RNAcentral. Lineage: Eukaryota; Viridiplantae; Streptophyta; Magnoliopsida; Apiales; Apiaceae.
AAGCACACUAGUAGGCAACUACCAAAGCUAUUUAAAAAGUCAAUAAUCCUGAAAAUUUAAAAAACAUUUAAAAUAUGAAUAUUAUUCUAACAAUCUUUCCACAUACUGGGAUACAGGGCACAAGAACUGCGUAUUUAGGCUCUUUAGUAUUAUAAUGACAUCAAUGUCAAUACUCCAUUGUACUAAUAACCUUGAAGAAUUAAUACUUCCUAAAGGCCAAUACAAUUUUGACGAAACUGCUGCUAGGCCAAAACAAUUUUAUUGGCCAGAAUGCUGGGCUUGUAAUAGAAAUCAUAUCGACAAGAUAAAUAUAACAAAUAUUCAAAUGCUUUAAUUGAUAUGUGAUUACACAAGAAGAGAUUAAGAAACAGAGACAUAAAAGCUGAGGGAUGGUUAGCUCCCAUGGAAGAAAAAGAAAGAGGAAUGUUUAGCAGUAAUUCUGUCAUGUCCGAAGUAGACCUGUAACUGCAUCAGUUUGGCAAGUGGAGAAUCUGAACUUGGCAAUUGUGUAAGAGCAAAGGGAAGACCUAGGAGUAAUGUAGAGUGGGAGUAAUUGGGUUUCUUGCCCUCACCAAAUCAUGAAAUAUGCAUAUACAGUCAAUGUAAGAGGUCCUCAGUUCAAUUCCUAUUGACUGCUACUUUUUUUCUGUGUAAUAUUGUCCAUGUAGAUAAAUAUGACUGUAACAACAUAUGUGUGUGUGAUCUAUACAAUACAUGAGCAUUACUGAAUAAUGCUCAUUCCCAAAUAACUAAAGUGUUGAAGAGCUAAUGAAUUAACCACUCAACGAAUUUUUUUAGUAGAGUACACUUUUUCCCCCACUAGUAAAAAUUUCUAGAUCUGCCCCUGCAGAACAAAAGAGAAUUGGUCAGAAGAUCCAGCAGAUAGGGGACUAACUACGCACCUCGUGACAAAGACAAACAGAGGAUGACAUAUUACUUGAUGUAACCAACCUAAAGUGAUAUAGAUGUGAGGAUGACAUAGAAAUUAAGACAGAUCUAUGGUUGCUCUUGUAUAUUGAAUGGGUAUCAAGUUAGUUCUAUCAAUAUAUAUUAUGUACUACAUUUGUUACUUACAGAAGAUCUACAUAACCCUGAACUAUUAACGGAAAGGAGAUGAGGAUUAAGCAUAGCAUACAUAAAUAUACUUUAGUUUAAUACGUACACUUGGGCAUGCUAUUCAAAUAUCAUACAGCAGAAAAACUGGUCAAACAACCAUAGAGAAUAACAUGGUAGCAUAAUGACAAACACUAGAGCAAACACUGGGCAAAAAGGUUAAAGGAUACUCAGGGAAUUUGCAAGAAUUAAUCCAAUUGCUCCAGCUGAUCGAAUAAGUAAUACAUUUAGAACAAUAUAAACCAACGAGAAUAUUAGCAACGAAUCAUUCGAGCGUUUGAGUUGGUUCUCUGUUGCUACUGCAUGCAAAAAUGCUUCUGAUGUUCCUGAUGCAGCAUCAUAACAAUGAUAAAUAAGAUUUAAACAGAAUAUAAAAAGCAUGACUUGAGAAAUGUAAGCGUCUCCCAAAUUAAUUAACUCGUGUUAUAGUCUCCAUUUUAAAAAGUACCAUUCCUAUGCAGAUAGUAACUACAAGGAACUACAUGUAUGAUUCUACCAACUUGCUUCAAAAUGAUUGAUUACACAUUCCGCAUACUUUUAUUAUUAGACUUCAAUAAGAAUAACCGAACAACACAAAAUAUGUUAUACAUAAAUGCAUUUACUCUAUGCUAUCAUUUUCUACUUUUUCAGAUGUCAAAAAAAAUGUCAUCAUUCUAUUAUUGAUACUACGUGUGUCCUAAUUCUCCAACAUGAGGUCAAUUCUCUUAGUCCUUAAGUUGAACAAGUUUACACUGGAUAAUAUGAAAUGCAAGGAGCAGAGAGGUAUGCAUGUAUGGAUAGUUGUGGAAGGAAGAUGCAUCGCUAUAAAUUCGUAAACAUGGGAGCAAUUUUCAGUUGCAGGAAAAUUUUCGGAAUUUAUAAUAUUCUAAAUAAGCAUUUGCCCAAAUAAUUUAACAUAUAAAUAUUUUUAGAGUUUAUUGCAAAAUGCACCCCCCCUGGAUUUUCAAAAACGCAUUUAUGGCCAAUACUUUACAUAAUUGCACUUUGCACCCCGCUGGUUCGUUUGACGCGUCACUUUGAACCUCUUCCGUUAAUUUUGACUGUUAAGGUUAAAAGUCUCGGGGGUAGUUUGGGAAAUUUUAAAAAAAUAAUUUUAACCAGAUUUUAUUUAAAUUUUUUAACCCUCUAAACAAUUUUUUUUUGAAAAAUCUUAAAAAACGAAAGUUGUAGGGAAUGAAAAGAUCCUUUUAAAACAAUAAAAUUCAAAAUUAUUUAAAUCUUUUUUUUAAUUGUUUAAUAAAUUACAAAAAAUGGGGAUCUUGUAAAAAUUCGUAAUAAAUUCAAUUAAUUUCGGAUUUCGAUGAUUUUUGGUGACUCGGAAAACACUUUCAAUUACCUAAAACUUUCGAAUUUUAUUUCUAACCUGGAAUUAAUUAAAACCUACUUUAAUUGAAUUUUAAAAUAAAAAAUGAGUUGUAAACAUUAUUUCGAAAAUAUUAGAAACAUAAUAUGAGGAAACAACAUGAACGAAAGUUAUAGGCAAAUGAAAGAGUUUUCCGAAUCAUAAAAAAUCAUCGAAAUCCGAAAUUAAAUGAAUUUAUUACAAAUAUUUACAAGAUCUCCAAUUUUUGUAAUUUAUUACACAAUUACAAAAAAGAUUUAAUAAUUUUGAAUUUUAUUGUUUUAAAAGGAUCUUUUCAUUAUCUACAACUUUCGUUGUUUAAGAUUUUACAAAAAAUAUCGUUUAGAGGGUCAAAAAAAUUAAAUGAAAUCUGCUUAAAUUUAAUCUUUUAAAAUUUCCCAAACUACCUCUGAGACUUUUAACCUUAACAGUCAAAUCUAACGGAAGAAGUGCAAAGUGACGCGCGAAACAAACCAGCGGGGUGCAAAGUGCGAUUAUGUAAAGUAUUGGCCAUAAAUGCUUUUUCGGAAAUCCAGGGGCGUGCAUUUUGCAAUAAACUCAUAUUUUUAGUAUGGGACGCAGAGUAAGUAUACCUUUGUAAGCCUUUAGUACAAAUUCUACGAGAACUACAACCCAAACAUUAUUAUACUUUUAAAUACAUUAAUCAUUGCAUUCUAAUCUUGAACUGAUAGGGUGUAUUAUUUAUGUAUAGGCAGACACAAUUGCACCUUUUAAUUCUUUAUUCUUCACUUGGCCAUUGAACAAAGAGGCCGUUGGUCAUAACAAUAGACUUUUAAGUUAACUAAAAAUCCAUUCAUAUUCUUAUUAGCUCUGAUGGACAAAGAUAGAGAGAAUUAUAUGAAUUCAGGUGUAUAAUAUAAUAUAAUGAUUGGAGACUUGAGCUUUAGUAGGCUAAAGAGGUUAACCACUUAGGCACGAAAAAGCUGCGUUGAAGUACAUAAAUGGAUUACACCUAUACAUCAUAAAGAACUCUAAAUAUGUAUAGCAUCUCCAAGAAUCUCCUAAUUGGCUCCUAAAUAUAAUAUAAACAAUGUAGCUGCUAGCAAGUUAGUACAUUAUUAAGAGUCAUCUCCAAAAAUGCUCUUUAUACUUACCUAUUUUUAUAUACUAUUCAUAUUUGAACUGAUAAAGAGAGCGGCUAUUAAUGGAUGUAUUGGAGGGAAUGAAUCCUUUAUUAAAAGGAGUUAGUUAAGAGCAAUGUCGAGGCUCUUAAAAUAGAGAAGAGAGAAGAAGUUCUUAAGUUUACGAAGAGCUUCUAAGAGUCUCUUGGAGCUCUAUUUGAACCAUUGCUCUUUUUUUCAACUUCAGAUCCCAUAUGGAGAGUCUCUUGGAAAUACUCUAACAUAAGCCUUUUAAUGAAGUGGUUAAUAAUUUCAGUGAAGAACAUUGCAAACAAAUGAUGAGUCAUAACCAUUUUUUGGAAACUGCAGUGGUAAUUGAAGAGUGGAAACAACCAACUAUGGACAGAGGCAGAAGUCUCCAAAGGGUAUAAAUUAAAUUCUUGUAAGUAGAAAAUAGAUACUAAAUUCGAAUUUGUAAUUUGACUUUGACAAGAUUGAAUAUUACCCUUUUGAUUGUAUAAUUGUAUAAUCAAUAAAUUAUUCAAUCUGAUAUUAACUCAAUUAAUAAACUUAAGUUUGCUUUAAAGUUUUAGAUUAGCUUAAAGUAACAAGUGACUUUUUUCAAGAUAAGCCAAAUGGGUUAGUCACUUAUGAAGGUCAGCCACAACAAAUUAUAACAAAGAUGCCUAGCAAUAAUAGUAAUAUUCAUGAUAUAUGUAUAAAAAAGAUGGUCACUAUAGACACCAAUUGAAGUUUGUUACGGUAAAUGGGACCAUAUAAUAAUAACAAUCGGUGCGAUCGAUGAUAUUCAAAACCAAAACAAAAAAAAUAUGCGUAUAAACAAAUGGAUGACAUGUAAUCUUACCAUUCAUAGCCAGAAGAACGAUGUACAGACAAUAAAGCUGGAGAGCUUUAGAUGCUUCACCAUCACUCCAUUUCUGACCAUAUAACAAUCUGAUGAGACAGUAAGAAAAGCUUGGUCCAAAUGCCAUAACUAUCAGACCUAUAAUGCAUUUCAUGUUGUCAUAACAAAUUAUAGGUAGAAGAGUGGAAAAAGUAUUAUAAUGACCUAAUCACAAAUAUUAUUUUGCUAUGACCAUACAAUUCAAGAAAGGAUUUCACAAUCCUAAGCAAUGAGAAAGGUGACUGAUUUUUAGUAUUCACUGAUCUCUCAAAGUACUGCUACACAUUACACUACUCUACAUGUGUUUCAAAAUACGAAUCAUCGCACCUCGACUUGGUAGUAACCAUACUGAUGCUUGGAUGAUAAUAAUAAGCCAAUUAAAAUACACAACUUCAACAGAUUCUCAUGCAAUGCCAUUGUUUAAACAAAUAUGUCAGUGCGUUGGUACAUUUUUCCUUCAGAAUAUUAACUUUUUAAUGUGACGAGAAUAAUCAGUAUUUACCUUUUUUAAUUAAAUAUUUCUUUUAAUAAAAAACUAUACUACAGAGUAAUACAUGAACCGGAACAUGCAAACUGAGAAAUCUUCAAUUGUGCAUAAAUAUAGGUCUAGACAUUAGUUCACAUGAUAGACAACUAGCCCUGCUCACCACACUAUACCCUUGUGCACUCUUAACCAAAUCUAUUGUAUAUGUCGUUGUUUGAUUCUAAGAGAAAUUACUUGUUAAUCAUUACUCCCUCUGUCCCUCUAGAUUCUUUACAGUUUCCUCUUUUGAAUGUCCCUCUCAUUUCUUUACAUUACAAAACUUUCCUAAAAUAGUUAAUGGGUCCCACAACUUUCCCACUUUUUCUUCCCUUUCACACUACUUUUACUCCACUAUCUCCCUUUUAUAUAUUAAAAAUCAAUGGGUCCCACCACUUCACCCACUUUUCUUUCUCUUUUCCACUACUUUAUACAUAUUUCUUAACCUCCGUGCCCAAACUCAAUGUAAACUAUUGAGGGGGACGGAGGGAGUAUGAUUUAUGAACAAGUGCAGCUAAAGACAGUCAGAUCUAGGGGAAAAUAAUAUAUAACUUGGAUGAUGACAAUAAAUUUCUACUGAGCUGACAUUAAUUUGAAAGGAAAAAAGUGUGAUAAAGGACAAUACUGAAAUGAGAUAUGCAAAAAAAUUAGAAACGCUUACCUAUCAAUAAAACGAGCUUCAGAGCAUCAAUAAGACAUUUUCCUAAUUUUGUUCUCUUCUGUGCAUGUUCUCCUAAAAUCAGAGAUAAAAAAAAGGGAGGUGAAGUUAGACCUCUCAUAGGAGGAGAAAGUAUUAUAUAUUACAGAUCAUGUAAAUUAACAAAUCGCAUCACAGAAAAAAACUAUAAAGGCAUUAGCCCUUUGGUAGGAAUUUUUUAGUUGUCGGAUUUUAUAGUUAAAACGCUUUAAUUGGGCGCGAUCCUGAAUCUUCAAACCUCUAACAUAGCAAUGAGUAGUGAUAAGAGAAUGAAUGAAACUGCAGAUCUAAAUAGAUGUUACUAAUGUUACUCAAAACUUGAAUACUUGAUUAUGGUAAAAAAAGAAGUGAAGAGAACUUACUUGUAGCCAAAAGAUUUACCCGCUGAGAAAACACUUUUUUUUUGUGAGUUACAAAUUCAGAAUACUAAGCGAUUCAAAAACAAUAACUUGCACGUUCAUGUUUAUAAAACAAAGUGACGUCUAAAAAAGAUACAACCCAGGGAACUUUUUCAGUUCUCUUACAAAAAACAGUGACGAGAUUCCAAAUUCGAGCUAUACAAUUUUGAAGCUUAUAACUCUUAGGUUUUGGUGAGUGCUUUGGCCUUUCACAAUACUGCUGAUAUCCACAGCAAAGCAAACUUAUUUUACUCUAUUACUGCAAUCAUCGCUUAAUAAGAACUGAGAUAAGCCACUGCAAGAAAUGACAAAACUAUGACACAGAGACACAAAAUUGAAUGAAUUCCUACUAUUGAAUAUCUAUUAUAUCUCAGGCAAGGCAACCUGUGAACCAUAUGGUUUUGCAUUUUUUAUCAUCCAUUACAAUAAACGUGUAAAGGAUAUCAAAAGAUGGAAGAGAGAGAGAUAAACAAUGCAUCAUAACCUUAAAGAUGUCUGAUCAAACAAAACUACAAAGAUGGAAAUAAACCUGCAGCAGACCUUGCAAAUGUAGUAUAUGAGCUUUCUUCAAAAGGGAGAAACACCAACCUCACCACUAAGCUUCCUGAAACAUGAACUCUGAUCUACUCAAGUUACACCCAUACAAAAUGUAAAUGCAAACUUUCAAACAUAGACUAGUCAUAUUGUCAAUUAAGGAGCAUAUUUCAAUUACAGUCCUGGCCAAGUACAAGACUUCUUAAAUAAGCUUCAACACAUAGAAGGUAAGACAAAGGACAAGCCAAUCAAUAAAUACCUAAUUUGUCCACAAGUCCAUACACAGCCUGGUUAUAUGGUGUAUCAAACCAUACAAGCACCAUCUUUUCUCCUUCCUGAAGUAUUAACUUGCGGAAGGAUUGAAAGGUAAACAACAUACACAUACUCGAGAGUUGCUUAUCAAGAUUUAACAUAGUUCCAAAUCUGCAAAUGCACCAUAACGUGAUUAACUACAAUAUGCUAGUAGUAGAAUAUAAGAAUAUGGUUGUUGCUAUCAUAACACUACUAAUGGAAAAAACAACAAGAAAGAAAAUCUUUAAGUGUCUGAAAGAAGUUUUGGUGAUGUCAAAUUCAAAUUCCUUUAUUCACUUUGGUUCAUAAACUUGAUGAAACCAAACAGAUAUGGUAUGCAAUAAUAACAUAAAAGCUAAAACACACUCAUAGCUAAUAAAUACAAGUAUGAAGAAAAACGAAUUAAUCGAUUUACUUCAGGAAGCAUGUUAUUUAUGUCAUCAUAGAUGUUGAUAACAAUAUGGCCCAUAGCUAAAGGCUGGUUAAUAACUGAACAUACUUUCACUUCAAGGAAUCCUAAAUAGCACCAUGAAGGAUACAUUCUAGCGCAUCAUAGUUAUAAUCUUGUAGACAUUUCAAGGUAUCAUGAGUAUCACAUUCUUGAAAGUAAUGAGCAUCAUCAACUUUCCAGUUGAGGGGGAAUAGCUAUAUAUGGUAAGCAACUACAGUUUAAAAAGCCAUAUGUUCAAAAUAGCUCUAGCAUUAUUAUCAGCUAGUACAUGAAGACUGAAGUAGGAUGAGUUAUCAUACUACUAUAAUACUGGCAAAAAAAUGCAUAAACAAUGCUCUUCAUAGAAACCAGAGAAAAAAACUUAACUGAAAAUAAUUUUAAUUUAAGUGGACCUCUUUCUCUUUUUUUUUUGCUGAAUAAUUCAAGUGUUUAUCAAGUCUUACAGCACAAUAUUAGUGAUUUCAGCUACAACAAAAAUAAUGAACACUUUGUGGUGACUCGUGAGACGGGGGAAUCAUUGGGCAUAUUUAUUGUCAUUUUGUCUGAUCAAGGGAGGCCGGUAUUUGUUGUCACAUAAGGUGAAAAUGCCCCAGAAUCUUAAAGCAGGAAAAACACCAGACUAUCUAGCUUAUAACAAAUACUUCUCUGUGCAAUAAUUACAAUCUUCAGUACUUCUGUGCAGCUUAUAACCAGUACGAGAUAAAUUAAAAUUCACUACUAGAAGGAUGAAUACAGUACAAACCGUACCUGAAAGGAAAAAGAUCUGAAAUUCUGUAUGCAUGCACCAAAAGGAAGUAUCCCCAAUAACCAAUGAACAUACAACCUCCAUAAGCAGUUUGAGCUAAUGCAAAUACAAUCGCUUUUUCCUGUAUGCCAACAAAAGAAUAAUACUAUGAGUUGCAAGUAUGAUCAAUUAUCUUAUCUAACUGAUACAAGACAAUAAACUGAUUUACUGUAAAGCUUUUUAACAGACUUCUAUUACUAUAAUGCUUGUACCAUAUUUGUGCUUUUGACUAUGAGCACAUAGGUUGUCACACAUCGCAAAAGGGUUGCUGCAGCUUCAACAAUCAACCUUAGCUUGAGGAGAAGCAAAUUCUGAGAGAGAAUAUACAGUGGCUCUGCCAAGAGUUCGAGCACACAAGCAAAACCUAAAGCAUGGAAAGAGAUGGUCUAAUUUAUUCACUAAAAUGCAAGUACAGUAUUUAGUAAAUGUAAUGUAUUCAUUUAACAGAAGAAUCCUAGACUCUGUACAUAGAUUCGAAGGAAAAAAAAAUCUUGUUCAUACCAGAGUCCAAGCUACAAGCUAUUACAAUAGACCCACUUAACUGGCAAUGACUUUUUACUACAAUUAUAUAUCCCAAUAUAUAUCAGCCCAACAAGUUAAAAAUUUAUAUUUCACAUUAAUUAAAUCAUGUGAAGUUCAACAGCAUACAGCGUUCAAUGUUUAUAAACAAAACGAACAGAAAGCUCUACAAGUGAAUCACAAGUACCACAUACCAUGAAUCAAGAUAGCUUGUGCAUAAGGAUUUGAAUAAUUUAAAUCUUGCCACCAGAAGAUUAAUAAACAUGCAGAAACUGAAAUAACUACUCCUAGUGGAAUAGUCAUCCAAGCUAGUUUUAGUAGUUUAGCUGCAUUUGCCCCUCCAGAUGUAUCAUCACUGUAAAAAAAAUUAAAAAAAAUCAAAUAUUUCAUGCAAAACAUCAGAUAAUGUGUCAGUUUUUAAGAAGAAAACUCAAUUGCUCACUCCUUCACAUGGGAGAUCUUUUGCACUAGACACUCUCUCGGAAAAGGCUACUAGAACGUUAUAAUUACGUAGCCAAUACUUGGUUAAUAUCAUGACAACACAAGUUACUUCCUGAUUCAUGUUCCAACACAUAAAUGAUAGAUUUACUAAAGCAAUAGGCAUAAAAAGAUAGUACUACUAAGCAGGAAUAAUAUUGAGGGCAAGAUAUGAGACAAUACCAUCUGAAGUCCGCCCUCAUGCAUGCUCUUCGAAAACCCUCGCGACUAAGGAACAAGACACAAGUGACAAAUAGGUGAAAUUGGACAGCAUACAACUGCAUUGUGUAAAUAAUAAGAUAUAAGAAAUAAUGGAUGAAUAGCUGAACAAAGUAUGUACCGAAAUAUAAGAAUAUAUAGUUAGUGUGUUGUCUGAAAUUUGACAUGUGUGUCACAUGCAUUGUUAUCAAGUCGACGACUAGUCGUCGACUAGUCGACGACUAGUCGACAAGUCAUUUUAUAGAAAAAGUCAAGCAACGACUUAUUUAGUCUGGCGACUUAUUUUCAACAUAUAAGUGUCUCCCUAAUCUUUGUAUCAUUUCAACUUCACAUUAUUAUUUCCUUCAUGUCACUACUUUUUGGCUUCAGGCUAUGUAAUCUUUGUAUCAUUUUCAACAUAUAAGUAUAUCCCUAAUCUUUGUAUCAUUUCAACUUCACAUUAUUAUUUCGUUCCUAUCACUACUUUCUGGCUUCAAUUUAUAUGUGAACUAACAAUCUGCUACAUCGUAUACAUCUGUUGCUUAUUAUCUUUUACUUUUGAUUCAAACUAUAUACUGAUGUGCGUUCAACUAUAUUUUAUAUAUUAAAUCUAGUAAAAAUAUGUAUAAGAAUGACUUGUCGACUUUUUACGACUAGUCGGGCGACUUGUCGACUAGUCGAUUCCAAGGUAUCCGGGCGUCGAGGCUCGACUUGGCGCCGUAAUAACCUUGGUCACAUGGCUCCCAUUGACGCUAAAAUAUAGUUCAUAUGGCUCAAAUAUACACUAAAAAUAUAUUUAACAGAGGAAAAAAUAGCAUUAAGAUGAAAAACAUGAUCAAGUUUAUGUUUGCAUCAGUUCAUGACAGCAUCUAUCAUCAUAAAAUUACUUGAAUCAUCUGUUGGUUACCAAAUAGGUCAUGCUGGAUAGUAUUCGAUGGGACAAUGUUUUGAACAACAAUAAACAAACUCUAAAUCUAAUUUAAGAAUCAAGUCGCUUGCAUAAUUACAUUCUAGUAUCUCAUGUUUCUUUAAAUUGAAGAUAUAUUAGCAUUGCAAAUAGAGUAGUAAUUAGCAAGAAUAAAAUAUUUAUAAGGCAUAAUAAUCUGACUAAUAACUUAACCAAUAAUAUUACAUAAGCUUCUUGAAGAAAUAUAGAAUAUGAAGUACUGAUAACAAUAUAAGCGCAAAUGAGAACUUCAAAUUAAAGAUUAUUCAUGCAUACAGCAUAGUCUUCUUCAGUGAGGUGCCGGACAAUCCAUGUAUUGAAUAUGAAAGGAAUCCCUCUAGCCAGAAACUGUGUAGCUACACCAGAUGAAUAUAAUAAUUGGAGGGUUUACACGGAAAAAAGGAAUAUGUAAAUAAAGAAGAAAGUAAAAGGAUGUACGUACCCAUUAAAUACUUGAAAGUGCGAGGCAGAUCAGCAGUAUGGUCUUCAUCUUCUGGGAUUACCGUAGAAGAAACAGAUGAACUCUCCUUUUCAGACAUUUUUAUUGAACUGUUACAAGAAAAUACCUAUCCAACUUAUUUCAGUUCAAAAUUAUACACUGGAUUCAAAGGUUCUGUUGAACGCAACUAAGAAACCCAAGAUAUAAAAGAGGAAUUCAAAAGAAAACCUAUAAGAUUUCUACUGAAUAAUUUAUUUAUAUCUGAGCACUCACUGUUUUUUAUUGAAAGCCCACAUAAUGUGACUGAAAAAUUAGUGCCCGGCUAUCUUCAUCUCAGAUACUACCUCAAUAACUCAUUGGGCUUGGAUUAAGAGCAGGCUUGAGUUUUAUUUAACAGGCUUUAUACUUAGAGAAAAGAAAUCUUAUCAAGGGUUUAAGGAUCUUUAUGCAUCAUUUCUCCUUAUUUUUAAUAUAAAAUUCCGUUUCAAAUUUCCUAUACUUAACAAUAAUUAAUAAGAUAUUUCUUCUUAUCAAUUAUUUUGAGUAUCAAUGUAGUAAAGAAUACACAAAGGUCAUACAAGACUGCAAAGUCAAGUUGUAUUGUAUGUCACUGUGCAGUUAAGAACAAACAUCGGUGACUAGUAUUGCGGAUGCCCUGUUUUCGUUGUAGAUAAAGUAAGUUGGUUGCUACUUAACUACAAUCAACUCUAUACAUUAUAAGGUUUCUUAAAAUAACUUUUAGCACCUUCUUAAAAGUUUAAGUUCUGCUCUUACUAAAAUUCGUUAACUAGAAGUUUUGUUUACACUUUCGACAUUAGCAAUAUAACAUGAUUCCAAUUCGGUAAAAAGUAAUUAAUUACUAAGUCUUAUACAACCUAAAUGCGCCUAGGGCACAAUAUUUUGACAAUAACAAUGAUAAUCACAGCUCAAAAAACAUAUAUGAUUUGCUUUAAAAUCUGAAAGUGUAUAUGCAGUUAUCUCAAGCAAAAUCAAAAAGAGCUGAAAGACUUACUACGACUGUGAAGGAGGUUACGAUUGCAAGUAAUUCAUAAAACAGAGUGAUCUGCAAUUGAUUGAGAAUCAAAAACUCUUGAAAGCUCGAAAAUGGAUUUUUCUUUAACACAAUUCAACCCAAGAAACACAUAGGCUACUUGCAGUCAUGAAUCGCCACUCACACUGUAGUGCCACGAAAACAAUAAAUUCAAUUUAAUUGAACUAGACAGAUGUAAAUCCCACCAUUAAUUUAUACAUACAAGGAGCCAUUUGCUAAGAUAGUUUACUUAAAAACUAAUCAAACAACAACUAUGAAGUCAAAGAAAAUACAUAAAAGUUACAAACCCAAAGAACCAGUUCUCUUCCUUCAAUUUUUAUAUUAGCAAAAGAAACUAAAGCUAGCAUAGAACAAAACAGUAAUUUUUCUCUAAGCAUUCCUAAAAUUUCUUUAUUAUAAAACAGAAAAUAGCACUAACUAAGAGAAUAGUGCUAAGUAUAUUUAGUCUCUGUAUAGUGCUACAGCUUAAGGCCUCAACUUCAUUUUGGCUGUGGAAUAUUGUGAUAAGUCUUACCUUCACAGUGAACAAAAACAAAUGUAAACAGAUACUACUUUUGAGCCAGGGAAUAAUCAAUCUCUGAACUGUAUAAGACUUUAAAUGUAGUCUCUGACAGAGACUACAUUUAAUACUACCUUGUUGGUUCACUUAAAAAGAUGCUAUAUAUUUAUAUAUAGCAGAAACUGGAGUAGUCGAGUAGCAAAAAUGUUUAUCCGUGACAAUACUAUCAUCAUUGUCAUUCCAGCGAUAAAAAUGUGAAAUAAAGCAAAUCCCCGACAACUUACAAUAUAAUUUAAUUGUUCAAAAAACAAUUAAGGCUAUUUCCGUGUCAAUUAGAGUAUAGUUGCUAGGUCGCAGUUUAUAUACUCUUUAUUAUGCACAUCGUAGGGCUGCCAAAUUCAAUGAUUUUCUUAACAAUUUUGAAAUCAGAUAAACGGGGUUGCUUACUUGCAUUGUAUUAGUUAAGAUACAGAGACCAGAGAUGCACCUCUGAGAAAGAAAAAAAAAAUGCCAACAACACCACAAACAUCAACAGGGAUGAGAUAACCUAAUUUUCUUACCAAUUUAACAAGCUAAUGAUUUUAUGACCAAUUUUGGAAUUAGGGUUUUGUAAUUGAAAGAGGAUUAAAAGAGCAUUGGAGGAUUUUUUUUACCAAACUUGGUCGAGGACGAGGAAAGAGAGAGAGAGAGAGAGAGAGAGAGAGAGAGAGAGAGAGAGAGAGGCUUGUGGUCGUGGGCGUGGACUCGUGGUGGUGAAGUCGUGGUAGUCGGAUUGAGCACUUGGGCUGAGAGAGAUGUAAAGAGUAUAUAUAAGUUUGGGUAUUGAUAGAGUCGUUGAUUUGGGGAGCGGGGAAGUGGGAACUGAGAUAUGAGAGGGUGAGGGUGUUCCCGGAUCAAUCACCUUUUCAGAGAUCAGUGCACAACGGUAGAUAGUGCUGCAUCUUCCUUCUCAGGCUUCUCAACACAAUACAGUACUCUAUUUAGUAAAAAAAAAAAACAUGCUACAGAACUCGGUCCAUUACGCAUAAUAAUGAGUGUUCUAAAAUUCCCGAUUUAACCGAUAAAUCCCCUCUGCAAGGUCGGUCACCGGUCCGAUUUUUGAAAUCGGAUUAAUCCUUAUAUAUAUUUCAUAAUCGAAUUAUAUGUGAUAAAUUAUUAAAAUUAAAAUACUAUAUUACUUUAAAUAUGAAUAAUUAUAGAGUUUAUGAAUAUAGUAAAUAUAUUAGUUACUAAAUAGCUAAUAUAAUAAUAACUAAAUAUUAAAUAAUAUUUUAGUAUUAAAAUAAACCCGAUUUUAACUCCGAUUAAUCUUUCCGAUUAAUCCCCGAUUUCCGAUUAAUCUUCGAAUCAGUAGCUCAACCGAUUAGGUCCGAUUCCCGAUUUCUGUAACACUGUAUAAUAAUAGUAGUUUUUACGUGCCUCUUUGAGUGUUUCAUAAAUAUAGUUUUAUAAUAUUUUUUCUUAAUAAAUAUUUGAUAUUUAAACUCUUUUUAGAGAAAAUUAAAAAAUAUUAUGAAAUUAUAUUUUAUAAAAAUCUCAAAAUGCGUGUAAAAAUCAUAUGUUGAGACGGAGGGAGUAAAUAUUAUUUCAUUUAAUAUAUUAAACGUUAUAAUCUUAUAAUAUUUUCUACUCCCUCCGUCCCACCAGAUUCUUUACAGUUUCCUUUUUAAACCGUCCCACUCAUUUCUUUACAUUACAAAACUUUCCUAAAAUAGUUAAUGGGUCCCACCACUUUUCCACUUUUUCUUCCUUUUCACAUUACUUUUAUUCCACUAUCUCUCUUUUAUAUAUUAAGAAUCAAUGGGUACCACUAUUUCACUCACUUUUCUUUCUCUUUUCCACUACUUUAUAUCUAUUUCUUAACCUCCGUGCCCAAACCCAAUGUAAAGAAUUGGGUGGGACGGAGGGAGUAAUAAUUUUAAGACAUAAACGUGAUAUGAUAUAAAUUUUAUUUAAAAAUCAAAAUGAUGAAUUGUGUUAUAAUUCUAACUUGUUAUGAAGAGAAAAAUAUUAUUUUAAUCAUGAUAAGAGAUGAAGAUAAAGUUGAAUUGCUACAAAUCUUGGGCUGUAAUAAAGAGAAACUAUUAUUUUAAUAUGAUAAGAGAUAAAGAUAAAAUUGAAUUUCUAUAUAUCUUCAAUACUUCGACAAAUAUAGUUCAUAUCAGGAUCUUCACUAAAAUUUUAGCUAGGAAAAAAAUGUCCUAUUAGAAUUUGAUUAUUAUUUUUACAUACUUUAUAUUAUAAGAUUUUUUUUUUUUUUACUCUGAUAUUCUUAUUCAGGAAUACUAUAUUGUACUGUGAGAUACUCAAAUAUAUUCUUAUUUUGUCAAGCCCUUUUUAAUGAAAAUAUAUGAUGGCAUAUAAAUGAUCAGAUAUUAUGCAUCAUAGAUUUGUUAAAACCGAAUGAUUUCUAUGAUCACGCUUAACUUCUUCAAAUUUAAGGUUUACACUAUCAAUAGGACAGAAAAAUGAUAAAUAUAUCAAAUAAUAGAAUCUGAUAAGAGCAUCUCCAGCAGCUUAGCUAUAUGAUGUCCUAAGCUGUUAUUAUAAGGAAUAUCACAUAAAACACAACUCCAGCAGAGUCCUAGCCAUCCCUUAAAAUGUUAGGAUGCCCACUUCAUUCCUGGAUUGUGGAACCAUUCCUCAUACUAUUUUGAAUAAUAAAAUAUUCACUUCUCUCCUUUUCCCCCCUCUUUCCUUCCUUUCUCUCUCCAACCUACAAGUUAAAUAUAAUAUUAUAAUAAUAAUAGGGAAUAGAAAUAGGGAAUGUUGUUGGAGUUCCCAUUCAAUAAAAUGUAGUAAUCCCUUAAAAAUUGAAUAUUUUAUUAUAUAUUUAGGGAACAUGUUAGGACUCUGCUGGAGAUGCUCUAAAGUUGCUCUAUUUCACUCUCACCGAACACCAUCAACUGUGUCAUUCUGUGUUAACUUGCUAGGCACAAACUUAUUUUACCCCUGCGGACUAAGGUUAUGGAUAAAUUAUACAAGGUCCUUGCUAUAUGAUAUGCACUCUGACAUUUCUGAUUACCUCCAAACAUUUAAGCAUACUUCAAAGGGCUUAUAAUCUUCUGAAUUACCUCCAAACAAUUAAGCGAAGUCUUAAAAUCCUGAAUCAAAGGCAAUAUUAAUUUGUCCAUCAUAAUCUGUUCUAUGCUACUGAUUCAUUUGAUACAGUGACAAAACGAAUGGGCAGGCAAACUACCGUUUCAACUUUCCACACAAUUGUACCAUAAAAAGACAUUAUCUGCUAACAAGUAACACAUAGUAUGGAGUACUUCCAUAUUAGAGCUGUAGGUCUGCAUAAUGACAAGUCGUAAAGGAUAUACUAUAUAGACUUCAGUUCAUACUAUCAAAUCUUAUAGACAGCACCUAACAACUAUAAAGAACAUAAGCUAGAAAAUAGUGAUAGCCGUAAUUCAUUCAGCCACGAGUGGAAUUAGCAGCAGAAAGAGGCAUACGAUGUCCAGCAGCACUUGACAAACACAAGGUGGAAGAGGUACAUUCCCUUUUCCCUUGUUGACUGGUUUCCCCUGCAUUAACUGUGCAUUCCGCAACAAAAGCACUCAUAUUGCUGCAUCGGCUGCUCCCAAUGCACUCCCAAGCAGAAGCAGUCUCCCUCUUCACCGUUGAUGGCAGAAACUGAAUAAAUUUUACACACAUGUCGAAACAUUCUGUAUUUAUUUUCCCAUAUGUAUGACAAAAUAGUAAAAAACCAAUUCAAUGCAAAAAGUUCAGGGACUUGAUAUCUUUAUUGAUGUAGAUAGUUAUACUCACAUGUCGUUUGGUAGCAGCUGUUGAAAAAGCUCCAUCAGUGUCAGGAAUGUCAUUGAGGUUUAUAAGAGAGGUGUUACUCUUGCUUUUAGGGGAGGCAACAAUGGCGGUAGAGGAGUAACCAUGGUUGUCAAUUUGUUGAUCAUUUGUCCGAGCAGUUUUAACAGUGACUGUUACAGCACGCCUCUCCGGCACAGGCCGGAUGGGGGAGGUUGGUGGGUGGUGGUGGUGGUAGGGCAGCUGAGGUGGAGCUAAAGCAGUGGAGGAUGAAACUGAUGGUGGUGUAUGGACCAUAAAGAGAUCCUCAACUUCAAACACAAGUGGAGAGGACCCAUUGCUGGCACCCAUGUUUGGCCAAAGGAAUGUACCCUGGGGUUUGCAGAUUCUGAAUCCGCUUUUCAGCUUCUGUAGUUUUGCUGCCUUUUCCUCUGCAGCUGUCUUUUCUCCAGUAGAUGCACUCUCUUUUAAUGCCAGUGCAUGGCAUCUUUCCAAAGCUGCAUGGUUCCUCUCUUUUUCAGCACAACAGUCUGUUGUCUUUGAAGCAAGCUCCACCAUAGAACUUAAUGUCCCCAUCUGAUCCUGGAUCCAUGCACAUACAUAUACUAAGAUAAUCCCAUUUGAGUAUCAACAAUUCAAGAGUUCAUAUCAUAAUGGUAAUUUAUGGAAUUUGAUUAUGCAGCAUGUACUUCAGAGUCUUUUGGAAUGUAAACAGAAUGAAAAGGAAAGAGAUUUCCAUGCACCGGCUUUUAGAGUCUUUGAGAUAAUAGAUGAUAUUAAGUACCUUCAUUCCCGUAAUAGUAUCCGAAAUAUCAGUCAAUUGUUUUUCCUGCUUGUUCUGCAAAAGACGAGGGAUAUAAGACAAAGCUAAUAACUAAAAAACUGAUUUGCAUCUAUUAGGUCAUAACUGAUCUGACAUUACUAGUCACAUAUAUACCACUUGGACUAGUGCAGACUCAAAGUCAGAUUUCCAAGGAGCCGAACUUUGAACUUGUAAAGACCAGAUUUCCUCUUGAAUUUUCUUGGUAAAUUGUUCAUCCAUUUCUCUGGUAAUUCACAAAAACUAGUGUUUGAGGACCCAAUUAAUAGUAAAUAUGACGCCUUUCAGAUUGUUAUACAAUGAGCACAAGUUGUUUUUAUUUUUUUGGUUGCUUUACCUUCUGACUUUUUUCAGCUCUUCCUUAAAAUUGGACACUAUGUCCUCCAUAUCUCUGUCAUCAAAGAUCAAUUAGACCAGACAGAAUAAGUCUUGAACACUAAUAUGCCAGUCAGUAUUAUCUUCUAUUCCUAUGUACCUCUUUAUUUUGGCAUUUUCUUCCUUGAGUAACCUUAAUUCCUUGGCACAAAGAGGAUCUUGAGAAGGACAAUCUCCAGGAGUCCAACCAGGUGGUGGAGUCCAAUAGGGAUCCUGCACCCCAGCUUCCUUCCUGACUUUAACAAGAUCAGCACUCUCCAACCAAUACUCCAUUUGACCAUCUGCAUUGUGUCGUCUUCGGAAGCGCUCGACUCCACCUGGUGCAAGUUUACCCGCCACAUGCUUGAGGAGAUGAUCUAACAGCCCUGUAUCACCUAUUCUCUUUCUUGCCUCCAAUCUCAGAUCAGGUCUCAGAAUUGGGCUUUUAAAGAGUGCCCCCUUUGAUUUCAUCACUUCCAAAAGAUUUUUCUCAGCUAGCUUGUACCUAGUUAACAAAUGAAGACCAGUUUUAAAAAAUGAGUAAAUUUAUGUAACCAGUACCUAAUUUAUAACAAAACAGCACUUUACCUUUCUGCAGACCAUCGAUUUAUGGAGCUUCCAACUAUCAUCUUUUUGCACUUAUUCCUCCUGGACUUCUUAUUGCUCUGUGUUUCACGUUUUACCUUCUUUGCUUUUCUUGUAUUCUCUCUCAAGCAAUAUGGUUUUCUUUUAACAGCUUUCUUAUCAUCCUCAUCUGUGUACUCUCUUUCUUCUUCACCAUCUUCAUUGUCUUCAUCAUCAUUUUCAUCUUUAUUGUCUUCAUCAGAUUCAUGCUCCAGUUUCUCUUUUGAUCCUUUAACAAAGCUUGUUGAAGACUGUGGGUGGCUGGUGCUGCUGUCUCCUUGCCUGUUAAUAAACUUGACUUGACGUCGAAUACCCCACCGAACCAUCCCAUUACUCUUCAGUUGAGACAUUAAAGGGGUGGUUGUUUCUUUAUUGAAAAUCCCACGCAGUGCAGCAGGUUCAGGAGAGUUUUUAAUCAGCCAGAACCCCUCGAAGUAAUUGUUAUCAUCAAAUUCUUGAGCUGAUAUCUGACGGCUAAGUACUUUUCCAGCUAGGUGUGUUCCCAUUACAAAUACCUCAUCCAAAAAAGGGUAAAUAUCAGUGCUGCUCAUCUUGUUGAGGCUGAGAUAGUUGCAAAGAGACCUAAUGCUUGGAUACCUCACAGAAACAUUUAACUCUGUCUUUUCAGUCACCUAUAGCCACAAAAUUACAAGAAAUAAAGAGAAAGAAUGCAACAAAUAGUCAGUAACAUGGAAACGAAUAUAAAAUCAAGAAUGUCACCUAUCUAGCUAUCUAUCUAGCUGUCUAUCUAUCUAUCUAUCUAUCUCUCUCUCUCUCUCCCCAUAUAUAUAUAUAUAUAUAUAUAUAUAUAUAUAUAUAUUAUCACACAGGUUUGAAAUGUAACAUAUUACCAUCACAACACGAAUGGAUUUCAGUUGGACAGGGGUUCUGGUGGGAAGGUUCAGAUGAUCAACCUCAUAAACACAACCAACCUCAAAAUGCUUUUCUCCAAUACCUUGAUCUUCUGUUUGGCAGAAAAAAGUAAUUUAUCACUCAUGAUAUUUACCCUUUUGCUAAAACCAGGGAAAAGGACAAAUGAAACAAAUAGAAAACGAAAAUGACAUAAUUAUAUAGUUUAUAGCAAUUGGUUAUCAAGAACUAUAGAGGUCCAUACCAUUGGUUUGCAGGAGUUGUCUCCUCAAAGUUGGUGACUGCGAGCUGUCGAGAAAAGUGUGGGCUUCUUGCCUUUUCAUCAUUUGCUGAAAAACACAAUACAGAAGUCACUCUUCCAUGGUUCUAUACCUAUUCACCAGAAUAACAGCAAGAAGUAUAUACUAUAUCUGUAUUUGUGGGUGCAUAUAGAAUCCUUUUGUAUGUAUGUGUGACACACAUAACACAGAUGAAUAACCCUAUGAUCAAUGAUGUAAGCCCUUUUUUAUUUCUCACCCUCUAUUCGAAUAUAAUGUCAGAAUUAUGCCCAUCAAGGCAUAUCUUCCCCAUUAUUUUCGCUGUCAUCUCUGGCAAUGAGAGCAUCAUGAUCUUUGUCACAGUUUCAUACACCAUCAAGCAUUGCUAGUUUCUUCAAGAAACAAGCAUCAUAACUCAUGAGGCUUAAGUCCAUUCCGUAACAAGGGAGUUCGUGAGAACAUUUUCCAUGAAUCACAUAGAAUUCAUAAGAAUCCCAUGGAUCACAUAAAAUGAUAAAAUUCAUAAGAAUUUGUUUAAACCUCAAAGCAACUUGUUCCUGAUAAUUAACCCCAUUCCUCAAAACCAAGCUAGUCACCAAUAUCUAUUUGAAUCCAAAUCAAUCACUUUCCAAUUAAUAACAGAUAUCACAAGUGCUUUUGAACAGUCCAAUGUAAGGGCUUCUUCUAACAUAUCAUGAGUUAAAUCUUACACUCAAACAACACAUACAUAUCUUCAUUAAACUUUUAGUAGGAAAGCAAGAACACAAAACAUCAUCAAGUAAUUUCAAGAGUUCAGGCAAUUUAUCAAACACCCCGCAUCCCCCAACCAGACAGCACCAACAUAGACAAUUGAAUAUCUCCAUAGACCAUAAGCUAGACUCAGUAUGUUUUCAGACAUAUUUCGAGAAAUAAGAUGACCCUGUGACUUUUCUUUGUUUAGAAGGGAAGAGUUGAAACUUGAAAAAGGAGAUUAAAAGGAAAAAUUUAUGAUGCAAAGCCAGAAGAUAUAAGAGAAUAAGAUUCGGACAUUGAGAAACAAACAUCACACAUGUUUUGAUUGUGGUCAUUUACAGAAAAAUUGAAGAUAAAUCUGGGUGAUUAGUGUUAAGUGUGGGGGAGUUAGGGUUAAUCAAUGCUAAGUUGAAAAUGGGAAAUUGGGAAUGAGUAAAAAAUAGCACGACGACAACUAGUUAAAACUUAAAAGGUCUAUUUUACCCGUCUUCGUUUCUCUCUUUAUUUAUUAUUUAUCCAAUAAUUAUUCAUUUAUAGAUAGAUUAAUACACACAUGUAUACAUGCAUAUACUUCACUGCAAGUCUGCAACAUGAUCAUGGAUUCAUAAUAUCAGCAUUGUUCCCGGCUCAUGAUGAUAAACUAUAGCUUUACUAAAAUUAUAGUAAUCAAUAACAGCGCGUGUUAUGACACGUGAAAAAACCUGACGGGGACAUAUAGAAUCAUAGAUGGAGAAGUGGCGCGUGAGACAGUGACCCCGUAUAAGACAAACGACUGAAAUUAUAACAGAAAAGGUAUUCAUGUAACCUAUCAGGCUAUCACCCCAUGUCCCCAUGCGCCCACAUUUCAAAAUUCAGAGAAUCAAAGUAAUGGAGAUAGAAUUUGGGAAUAUAUGUACGUACUUAACCACUGGAGAGAGAGAGAGAGAGAGAGUGGGGCUUACAUUGUUAUUGCUUUCACUGCAGGGAGCACUUCUGAGUCUUCGCCUGUGGUACGUUUCCAUGCUAAGAAAACCCUGCAUAUAUAGAACCAACCAAAAUGAAAACAAAAAAAUUUACCAUCGCGUUAAAAUGUUUAUAUUGUAGGUGUAGAAUGUAUAUAUGUGUACCUAAAAGCAAACACUGGAAAACGCAGAAAAAGCAGCAGCAAAGUUAGGGUUUGUAAGAGAAGAAAACAAAUUGCAGGCAGAGUUGGUAGUCAAUAACAUUAAUGUAUCUCCAGAACAAGCAGAAUAACAGGCUAUAUAUAUACAAACACAACAUAUCCUACGCAGAAACCAAAUCUCUGCUAAAGACUGCAUCAAUUUGAAAAAAAUUGACCAAUACUAAUAUGGAAAAAACAAGCAGUAAAAUAAAAAAAUGCUUGAAAAGCUUCAGACUAAGAAACUCUUGAGUCUUGUAAAACAAAAACUCCUGUUUAAUCAAUGCUUGCGUGCCUUAAGAGCACUUUCAUCAAUCAGAAUCACAGUACCAAAAUUGAAGAAUUAUCCUGUUCUUUUUCACAUGAAAAAUCAGCGAAAAUAAGCAAACUCAUCGCACACAGUGUUCAUGUCACACACAUCCAAGAAAAAACACUUACACAGAAACACACGCAUACAGAUUCUCAGAUCAAGAUCAAAACAUAUCAAAUAUACAACUCAUCAAGUAGAGAUUGAUCAGAUGAAAAUUCAUGUGUGGACUCAAGUAAUCGAAAGCGUAAAUUCACUAAAGUAUAGCACUACUACACGCAAGUGCACUCGCAGAGAUGGACAAAACCCAACCUGUAAUAUCAAAAAAUAGCGAAAUCUAGGCGAUUGAAGCCCUAAAAAGUAAAACACACAAAAAAUCUCAGAAACACAAGCGAGAUAACUGUAUGCUACUCUACAUGUUGAUAAACAACACUCCACAAGCAGAUUUUUAGAGAGAGAAGCAGCGGCUUCACAGAAUAAACAACAACGCACACAUUCACACACUGAAACACACACACACGCAUACGAGAUCGUAGAAUCACCAACAAAAACAACAAAUCGCAACUAAAAUCGAAGUUUAUCAGGUAAUAUAUACACAUACAUAUAUGGCACUGAAUCUGAUCGAAGCAUAAAAACUACAUACAAGUUACAACACGAGAAUGCACAUAUGUAUAAACUAAAAGCGAGCUGAGUAGAAGAUUCUAGAGAGAGGAAGGGCACCUCUGGUGAAUAUAGAAAUGUGUGUGUGUGUGUGUGUGUUUCUUUGUGUAUAUACACACAGAAACGUAAUGGCCGCCUAGAUUGAGAGGGGGGGNNNNNNNNNNNNNGGGGGGGGGGGGGGGGGGGGGGGGAGGGGUGCAAGUGAAAAUGUGUGUUUGUGUGUGUGUCAGGGUGGUGGUGAAAAGAAAUGGUGGUGAAAGUGAAAUGUAAACAGUUGUGCUCCCAACGCAUAUACACACACAUGUGCAUUUAUAGAUCCACAAAGUUUGUUAAUUUGUGAGUAACUUUUUACUAUUAUUUUUAAUUUAAUCGGAUUAGGUUGUAAAUUAUUAUCAUUUUACAUAUUUACCUGUUGACAUACAUAAUAAAAAAGAAUCUAUUUCCCGAAUAAGAAUAACAGGGUGACUAGCUUUUUACUUUUUUUUUUUAAUAUAAUCAACUGAAUCGGUCAUCGUAAAUUAUUGUCUUGAAGUAUUUUACAUAUUUACUGGUUGAUAUACAUAUUCAAAAAAAUCUAUUCUCCGAAUAAUAGGGUGAGUAGCUUUUUACUAAUCUUUUUAAUUUAAUCAACUGAUUUGACUGUAAAUUAUUGUCUUGUAGUAUUUAUAUAUUUUCUGGUUGACAUACAUAAUCGAAAAGAAUCUAUCAUCCGAAUAAUAGGAAAAUACGUAAUAAAUUUAAAAUGAUCAACCGGAUGAUAUAUAUUGUACACUGUUAAGUAUUUUCUACAUCCAGGUUUUGAUGAAAUUGUUUGUCAAAAAUAAAUAAAAUUUCUUUGUGAAAUUGUGAAGAUAACAGAAUACUUAAUAUGGGCCUAGGUUGGAUCAUGAUAGCUUAAAAAAAAGGCCCAACUAAUCAUCAACAGGAUCUUCAUUUUUAAAAGAAAAUUAAAAAAAACAAGAGCGCUUACAAAAUUACAAACAUUACUGAUUCCAAACCAAAGGAAAAAUCAUGAUCGAUUGUGUUGCAGCUGCACUUAGAAUUAAUAUAUAUGAGUGUGAUUGAAUAGGAGUGGAUUUAUCCCUGUUAUUUCCAGAUAUUCGGAUUAAACUCUCAUACAAUCCAAAUAUAAAUAUUAAAAAAUAUUAGAACAUAUUGGGGUCAAGAAUACAAAAAUAUAAGUAGAUCGAAAAGUGUACUUUUUGCUGCCAACUGAUAGUAGAUUACUACCGGAGCACAUUGGUUCAGUGGCAUUGCAGCGCGGCAAAAUCAUUUGUUUCUUUUAUGACAGGAAAAACAAAGAGCAUCAGUAGACACAGUAUGAGCAGACUCUGGCUCAAGUGCUUGUCUAUUUUAAAGAUCUUCAUACUACAGUAUGUAGUAUGUACCUUCUAAUCCAUUAACUUAAAGCUUUCACAAUUCUGUCCAUUCGCAUAUAUUUUGUAGCACUUCGAAUUUCACCAACUGAAGGUUCAUCCUUUCAGGGGUACAGAGAAAAUACAUGUCAAUCUGACUUAUUGGAGUAGAGAUACAUGGAACUCAUGUUAAAUAUGGGCCGAAAUCCAGAAUCGAUGGACAUUGGAAAAUUUUAACCAAGUUUAGACCUAACAGAAACCACCUGGAAUUUGUUUAUACAAAAGGCACAAUUAAGAAAGUGCAUUACACACCAGAACAAACAUUAAUACACAAUCUAUGGAUGCGGUCGGAUAUUACUGGACCAGCUCUGGAACUUUCGAGCAUGCUGCUAAGCUCCAUCUGGUAUCAGCACAACAGAGCCUGAUGUUUUCCUAUUCUCAAGAUCAGCCUGUGCUUGCGCUGCCUCAGAUAAGGGAUAAGUGUGGUUUACACGAACCUUUAGGACACCUGAUGCAACAUUGGCAAACACUUCCCCGGCAGCUUCCAGCAGUUCAUCACGUGUUAUUGUGUAAUUGAAGAGAGAUGGCCUUGUCAGAAAAAGGGAUUUUGGAGCAAGAGCAGACAAAGGCAAUGGAUCAGGGGAACCAGAAGACUGUCCAAAGCUCACCAGGUAGCCCCGUGUUUUUAAGCAUGCCAAUGACCCCUGAGCACAAUAAUUUAACAUUUUUACUAUUAAAAGUUGAAAGUGUAAGUUGGUCAGUUUUCAUUAACUUGGAAUAGAGAAAAAAAUAAAAUUCAAAUUUCAAUUCAACUGUAAGACAGAAUAUGACAACAUGUGCAUGCCUAGGUUGGUAUGGUCAUCAACCUGAUGCUCAUCCAAUGCAAAUAACAAUAGCCACAAUUUCAGCUCUGAUUAUUUAGCACAACUGGUAUAGUGGUAUUGCAGCUUCCUUUUGGCAGUAGAUACGAUUAAAGGUUAAAAAUCAAUUACCUCAAAUGUGUCCUUUCCAACAGAAUCAUAGACAACUUCAACACCUUUCCCUGAAGUUAUCUCUUUCACACGGGUAACGACAUCUUCUUCUUUAUAGAGUAUGGUAUGGUGACAUCCAUCAUCUCUAGCCUGUGCUGCUUUCUCUGUUGUAGAGACGGUUCCAAUAACAGUAGCACCUAGCGCAUUUGCCCACUGGCACAGAAGAGAUCCUACACCACCUGCUGCAGCAUGAACAAGAAUUGUGUGUCCAGGUUCAACCUAUAAUACAAGCUAAUAUGAGUCUCAUGCCAAGAAACACCAUAAUACUAUCAAAAGGAACACCACACGAAAUAUGCAAGCAAUGAUUUAACUUCUUAUGUCAGACCAGUGAUAUUUGAGGUGAAAGGCACAUCACGGCCUAAGAACCUCCUGAACCCAGGCAGAGAGUACUAACGUGAGGUGCAAGAUUGACAAGUUUUUAAAUGCACAGAACUAUAAUCCUGAACUCAAUAAAUGUCAAAUCAGACAUAUAAAACUGUUACCUAUGAACCAAAUGCAACUUAACUAAAUAACACAGAUACAUACAUAUUUGUAAAGUUAAGGUAUUAAACUAGGUUGCUGACCAAUAUAAGGGUCAGGUUAUACAUGCAAAUAUGGAGGAUCUUAACAUUCAGUCUCGUUACAUGGCAAAUGGCUAUAUGACCCAUGAUCUUGUAGUUUUCAUAUAUCCCUUGCUCUUUUCUAUUUAAACAAAAGUAUCUUACUACAAGUUUCUAUUGAAAUGUAGAGUCAAUAGGGUGUAUCAAAUUUUGGAAUUCACGUGCACGAACAGUUUUAUCAACUAAAGUAUAAACGAAUGGAGUGUUGGAUUGUGACAGAGAUCACAAAUGAAACCUCAUGCAAUUUGUCAAAUCCUCACAUGGUACUAAACUGUCAACUAUAGCUGCUUAAAUAGAUCGCUCCAUUCAAAAGGUAGCAAGAACUGGGCCAUGAAAGAACCUGAAUGGGCAAAGAAAAGUUUACAGAUACGAUAACAAAAGUAUAUAAGGCAAAUUAUUUUAUCAUGAACUUCCUUAAUAUAUAGCUUAUUACUAAUCAUGCAUUGAGGGGCGACAAUUUAAGUUGUGUACCUAAAUCAUAAAAUGACAGAGGCAAAAAAAAAAAUCCAACUAAAUUAGUUUUGGACUUUGAGAACUCAUAUUCUUUUCUAAUAUUGGAUGUACAUUUGGCACAUUGUGAAAGGAAUUGUCAUACAAGUCGUAGGAUGCAAAAAGUGAGAAGAAAACUGGAGUAAAAUAUUCAAAAUUCAUGUACCUUAAAACAGCGACGCACGAGAAAUUGAGCAGUCAUCCCCUUCAGCAUGACAGAGGCUGCAACAGCUGGAUCAAUAGAAGAAGGAACUGGAACCACUCUGUCCGCUGGAAGAAUCUGUUCUUCAGCGUAUGAUCCCAUUGGAUUUCCAGCAUAUGCAACAAGGUCACCUACUUUCCUGCCAGUUAGCCCAGGACCCACAGCUACCACAACACCAGCUGCCUCCAUACCUGCAAUCAAAAGCAAUAUUAAUUUAGUUUUAACCAAUUGUUAGCAUCGACAACUUUGUGUAUAACUGUAUAUAGACUCUUAUAUGCUCAAUAAUGAAUGAAAAAACAUAUCAGAACGCAUUUCUUUUCAUUAUUGUUAAAUGUGUGAGCAUCCUAAAGCAAAAAGUGCCAAAAUAAUAUAAGAAUUUCGCUGAAUGAUCCAUGAACUUUAAAGAGGAUGUACUUCAUAUGUUAAAAAUCAGUCAUGCAAAUUCACAAUAUAUGUAUAUCGUUAACUAAACAAAAGAGAUGAUCAGUGAUAGGGACAAAGAAAUAACAUAGAAAUUUUAUAGGAAAUAGAAGUGCAUAUAUACAGUAUACAAUUGCUGCAUAUAUACCGAGGUGUGUUACAAUGAAAGAGGUCGAGCCACUUUAUAUAUACAUUGAAUCAGCUUGCUCUCCAAGCCUGUAACAGUACUGUGAUGUCAUCAUAAUGAUGUCAGCACAUCAUGUCAUGCUACACCAAUAAUCAUCUUAAAAAUUACUUUAUUUAUUAUCUUUUCCAAUGCAAUUUUAUAGAAACGACGGUAGGUACGAGAAGAAAAUCUCUCCAAUAACAGUUUAUACCUAUAGAACUUACGACUGGAGUUCAAUGACAACAUGGUCCCUGUAGGCAUGUGCUAUAUGUGUCGCUUUGCGUGUCUAAUAUAUUGGUGACUGAACUUCAAAGUUUUCAGUCUAGAAAAAGUAAAUUACUUUAGGAUCUUUGGCUAAUCCUCAAGUAAAGAACUGAUAUAGUAGAAUUAACACCUUUACAAUUGGAACAAUAGCAGGGACGCAUCUUCCACAAUGAAAUAGACAAAUUAUUUGACCUGGCCUUUAAGGACUAAUUCAUAUUUUAGGAUUAAAAAUUGGCGAUAACCUAUUUCCCCUCCUUCACAACUAACAUUACUAACUUUUCCAAGUCCAUCAUCCUUAUCUUUAAGAAGAGUAGAGAACAAAAAUAGAUUCUGGAUAGGUUUCUAUGGAUAGUAGAUCUUCUUUUGGCAGAACUAGUUCAAGUAACAUUCAUAUAACAGAUGCAUAAUUGAAUAUAAAAGACAAUAAAAGCAUUUCGCAAAGUAUAAAUCUCUACUAGUAAUCAAACAUAGAACACUUUCUGCUGUCACUACCAUAAGGACUGUCCUGGAUAAGUUGAAACUGUACUCAAAUGAAUCAUAAAUUGACAAACAACAAUGCCAAAAGAAACACACACGCGAAUCUAGAACAUCAAAUAAAGAAUACUGAUACCUUUCUCCAAAACAGAACACAAAAGAAUCCAUUUAUUGUUUUAAGGAUCAAUUAUACAUGUUAUAGCAAGUACACGCUCAUAACAGCAAACCUGGUGUGAAGGGCAUUGUAGCUGCUUUGUAAACCCCUUUCCGAUAGUAUAUAUCAAUAAAAUUUAACCCAAUGGCCUUAUUUUUUACCCUGACCUCCCCAUCUUUGGGUUCUCCAAUUGGCACAUCCUCCCAUUUCAGGACCUGUUAUCAGUUCUACACAAUUUAAGUCAUUAUUCAACAAAAUUUACGACUCUAAUUAAAAUUCUGUGGGAGCACAAUCACAUAACAAGCCUAAAACUAGUUUUGCCUUAGUUGUAACACAGAAGAUGACAAAUGAUAAUGGACAGGUGUCCAAAGGGUAAGAUACUUGAGUUUCUGCUUGGAUGGGUAGGGAAUUUUGAAAAGAAGUAAUGUACCAUUACUUCGUCUCAAAAAUGAAGGAGCUGUUUAUAAACCAAACCUUGUCUGGUUCACGAAAUUAAUGUACUGUAAUUCAUAAAACAGCGAAAUUCACUCUUAUACAUUAGUACUCACAAUUGUUCUUUUAAUGAAUACAAGUUAACUGUCCAUGGGAAUUAAAAAAUAUGAUCCCCCUUUUUAUACAAUACUCUUUGGCAAACGACGUAAGAUAUUGUUACAUUCCAUUCUAUCAUUCCAGACCGAAACAUUACCGAGUGUCUAUAUGUCAUUCUUGUACUCAUAGUCCCAUACCCCUGAGCAACAAUGAUCAUUCAUCGGCCCUUGCAUUAUAGUACCGCGUAUAUGGAGGGUUCGAAUCUUAAUAAAGCUAGACUCGUUUCAGCAUUCUAAUUUCUGUAAUUGACCAAUAUCCACUAAAUAUUAAAUACAUGAAUGAUGUAGCAAACUGAUAUAUACAGAUUAAUAAUCAAGAGAUGAUCAAGUUAAUAACUACUGUAAACACAACAAAGUCAACAAUUCUAAAUGAUGCACACCGAUCAAUUAAAGAAGUCCUAAUGCACCCGCCCCCUAUGGGGUUCGAACCCUCAACCUCUUGUCGCUGGAGGGCUUGUUAGUCCAUGUAUAAAUCCUAAUCGAACUCUACCAUCAUCAAACUAAAUACACUACUAGCAAAUAAAAAAUAUAUAUUAUGAACUAUAAACUUCAGCUGAUAUUUGUGAUCACAACAUAAAGAUACUACAAUACAAACACACACANUUUAUAGAGUAUGGUAUGGUGACAUCCAUCAUCUCUAGCCUGUGCUGCUUUCUCUGUUGUAGAGACGGUUCCAAUAACAGUAGCACCUAGCGCAUUUGCCCACUGGCACAGAAGAGAUCCUACACCACCUGCUGCAGCAUGAACAAGAAUUGUGUGUCCAGGUUCAACCUAUAAUACAAGCUAAUAUGAGUCUCAUGCCAAGAAACACCAUAAUACUAUCAAAAGGAACACCACACGAAAUAUGCAAGCAAUGAUUUAACUUCUUAUGUCAGACCAGUGAUAUUUGAGGUGAAAGGCACAUCACGGCCUAAGAACCUCCUGAACCCAGGCAGAGAGUACUAACGUGAGGUGCAAGAUUGACAAGUUUUUAAAUGCACAGAACUAUAAUCCUGAACUCAAUAAAUGUCAAAUCAGACAUAUAAAACUGUUACCUAUGAACCAAAUGCAACUUAACUAAAUAACACAGAUACAUACAUAUUUGUAAAGUUAAGGUAUUAAACUAGGUUGCUGACCAAUAUAAGGGUCAGGUUAUACAUGCAAAUAUGGAGGAUCUUAACAUUCAGUCUCGUUACAUGGCAAAUGGCUAUAUGACCCAUGAUCUUGUAGUUUUCAUAUAUCCCUUGCUCUUUUCUAUUUAAACAAAAGUAUCUUACUACAAGUUUCUAUUGAAAUGUAGAGUCAAUAGGGUGUAUCAAAUUUUGGAAUUCACGUGCACGAACAGUUUUAUCAACUAAAGUAUAAACGAAUGGAGUGUUGGAUUGUGACAGAGAUCACAAAUGAAACCUCAUGCAAUUUGUCAAAUCCUCACAUGGUACUAAACUGUCAACUAUAGCUGCUUAAAUAGAUCGCUCCAUUCAAAAGGUAGCAAGAACUGGGCCAUGAAAGAACCUGAAUGGGCAAAGAAAAGUUUACAGAUACGAUAACAAAAGUAUAUAAGGCAAAUUAUUUUAUCAUGAACUUCCUUAAUAUAUAGCUUAUUACUAAUCAUGCAUUGAGGGGCGACAAUUUAAGUUGUGUACCUAAAUCAUAAAAUGACAGAGGCAAAAAAAAAAAUCCAACUAAAUUAGUUUUGGACUUUGAGAACUCAUAUUCUUUUCUAAUAUUGGAUGUACAUUUGGCACAUUGUGAAAGGAAUUGUCAUACAAGUCGUAGGAUGCAAAAAGUGAGAAGAAAACUGGAGUAAAAUAUUCAAAAUUCAUGUACCUUAAAACAGCGACGCACGAGAAAUUGAGCAGUCAUCCCCUUCAGCAUGACAGAGGCUGCAACAGCUGGAUCAAUAGAAGAAGGAACUGGAACCACUCUGUCCGCUGGAAGAAUCUGUUCUUCAGCGUAUGAUCCCAUUGGAUUUCCAGCAUAUGCAACAAGGUCACCUACUUUCCUGCCAGUUAGCCCAGGACCCACAGCUACCACAACACCAGCUGCCUCCAUACCUGCAAUCAAAAGCAAUAUUAAUUUAGUUUUAACCAAUUGUUAGCAUCGACAACUUUGUGUAUAACUGUAUAUAGACUCUUAUAUGCUCAAUAAUGAAUGAAAAAACAUAUCAGAACGCAUUUCUUUUCAUUAUUGUUAAAUGUGUGAGCAUCCUAAAGCAAAAAGUGCCAAAAUAAUAUAAGAAUUUCGCUGAAUGAUCCAUGAACUUUAAAGAGGAUGUACUUCAUAUGUUAAAAAUCAGUCAUGCAAAUUCACAAUAUAUGUAUAUCGUUAACUAAACAAAAGAGAUGAUCAGUGAUAGGGACAAAGAAAUAACAUAGAAAUUUUAUAGGAAAUAGAAGUGCAUAUAUACAGUAUACAAUUGCUGCAUAUAUACCGAGGUGUGUUACAAUGAAAGAGGUCGAGCCACUUUAUAUAUACAUUGAAUCAGCUUGCUCUCCAAGCCUGUAACAGUACUGUGAUGUCAUCAUAAUGAUGUCAGCACAUCAUGUCAUGCUACACCAAUAAUCAUCUUAAAAAUUACUUUAUUUAUUAUCUUUUCCAAUGCAAUUUUAUAGAAACGACGGUAGGUACGAGAAGAAAAUCUCUCCAAUAACAGUUUAUACCUAUAGAACUUACGACUGGAGUUCAAUGACAACAUGGUCCCUGUAGGCAUGUGCUAUAUGUGUCGCUUUGCGUGUCUAAUAUAUUGGUGACUGAACUUCAAAGUUUUCAGUCUAGAAAAAGUAAAUUACUUUAGGAUCUUUGGCUAAUCCUCAAGUAAAGAACUGAUAUAGUAGAAUUAACACCUUUACAAUUGGAACAAUAGCAGGGACGCAUCUUCCACAAUGAAAUAGACAAAUUAUUUGACCUGGCCUUUAAGGACUAAUUCAUAUUUUAGGAUUAAAAAUUGGCGAUAACCUAUUUCCCCUCCUUCACAACUAACAUUACUAACUUUUCCAAGUCCAUCAUCCUUAUCUUUAAGAAGAGUAGAGAACAAAAAUAGAUUCUGGAUAGGUUUCUAUGGAUAGUAGAUCUUCUUUUGGCAGAACUAGUUCAAGUAACAUUCAUAUAACAGAUGCAUAAUUGAAUAUAAAAGACAAUAAAAGCAUUUCGCAAAGUAUAAAUCUCUACUAGUAAUCAAACAUAGAACACUUUCUGCUGUCACUACCAUAAGGACUGUCCUGGAUAAGUUGAAACUGUACUCAAAUGAAUCAUAAAUUGACAAACAACAAUGCCAAAAGAAACACACACGCGAAUCUAGAACAUCAAAUAAAGAAUACUGAUACCUUUCUCCAAAACAGAACACAAAAGAAUCCAUUUAUUGUUUUAAGGAUCAAUUAUACAUGUUAUAGCAAGUACACGCUCAUAACAGCAAACCUGGUGUGAAGGGCAUUGUAGCUGCUUUGUAAACCCCUUUCCGAUAGUAUAUAUCAAUAAAAUUUAACCCAAUGGCCUUAUUUUUUACCCUGACCUCCCCAUCUUUGGGUUCUCCAAUUGGCACAUCCUCCCAUUUCAGGACCUGUUAUCAGUUCUACACAAUUUAAGUCAUUAUUCAACAAAAUUUACGACUCUAAUUAAAAUUCUGUGGGAGCACAAUCACAUAACAAGCCUAAAACUAGUUUUGCCUUAGUUGUAACACAGAAGAUGACAAAUGAUAAUGGACAGGUGUCCAAAGGGUAAGAUACUUGAGUUUCUGCUUGGAUGGGUAGGGAAUUUUGAAAAGAAGUAAUGUACCAUUACUUCGUCUCAAAAAUGAAGGAGCUGUUUAUAAACCAAACCUUGUCUGGUUCACGAAAUUAAUGUACUGUAAUUCAUAAAACAGCGAAAUUCACUCUUAUACAUUAGUACUCACAAUUGUUCUUUUAAUGAAUACAAGUUAACUGUCCAUGGGAAUUAAAAAAUAUGAUCCCCCUUUUUAUACAAUACUCUUUGGCAAACGACGUAAGAUAUUGUUACAUUCCAUUCUAUCAUUCCAGACCGAAACAUUACCGAGUGUCUAUAUGUCAUUCUUGUACUCAUAGUCCCAUACCCCUGAGCAACAAUGAUCAUUCAUCGGCCCUUGCAUUAUAGUACCGCGUAUAUGGAGGGUUCGAAUCUUAAUAAAGCUAGACUCGUUUCAGCAUUCUAAUUUCUGUAAUUGACCAAUAUCCACUAAAUAUUAAAUACAUGAAUGAUGUAGCAAACUGAUAUAUACAGAUUAAUAAUCAAGAGAUGAUCAAGUUAAUAACUACUGUAAACACAACAAAGUCAACAAUUCUAAAUGAUGCACACCGAUCAAUUAAAGAAGUCCUAAUGCACCCGCCCCCUAUGGGGUUCGAACCCUCAACCUCUUGUCGCUGGAGGGCUUGUUAGUCCAUGUAUAAAUCCUAAUCGAACUCUACCAUCAUCAAACUAAAUACACUACUAGCAAAUAAAAAAUAUAUAUUAUGAACUAUAAACUUCAGCUGAUAUUUGUGAUCACAACAUAAAGAUACUACAAUACAAACACACACACAGGGGGAGAGAGAGAGGGAGGGAGAGAGAGAGAGAGAGAGAGAGAGGAGAGACCUCGUGACCGCCCAAUUCAUGAACCCUGAUUGCUUUGACCAUGUCUGUUUCGGCUGCUGAUGAAGAAAUUGAAAGUGAUGCUGUGUAUCUGAACUUGCGACCUUUGUUCUGGUUUAUACUAAAUAAAUUAUUAAUACAAGUUGUUGACAACUUUAACUUUCGGGUCAAUGACAUGAGUUGAGGGAUUUGUGGUUCGAUUAAUCUCAUCAUUUUCAAGGCUAGUCUCGUUUGAAAAAUAAUCGGGAUCAAAGUAGAAAAUAUAGCCGAGAUUUGUGGUUAUACAGUAUUAAUCUCUCAGUCAAUUUAUUAAUUUGUUUCACUUUUUUUAUCUAUCUUGAUUUGAUAAUUAAUUUCUACAUGGCUACAUCCGCUUAGGUUAUUUAUCCUGGCUAUAGGUCUAAAACACGUUUUUUUCACUCUUAUAGAAUGUAAUUUUAUAAAUUAUCUCAACUUUUAUGAAUAAUAAUUUAAUAUAUUUUAAAAAAAUAAAUUAUAAAAUUAUAUUUUAUAUGAAACUUAAAAUACGUGGCAAGUAAUAAAAAAAUAGUAAAGAAAUUAGAGAGACACAUGGAGUACAAUUAAAAAUUAAUUUACUUUCAGAAAAUCCUAAGAAAAAGUCUAAUAUAUAUUUUUAUUGAAAAAAUUAAAGACAUUACUUUUUACUAUCAAUCGAAAUUCUUAGAAAAUGCGUCUACAAAAAAUCAAAAAGACUUAUAAAAAGUAAAAGAUGGAGUACUUCCAUAUAUUUAAAGAUAUAUAUUUUUCUAAUUUUCUUAACAGAUUAACGAAUUGGGAAUAUAUAUAUAUAUAUAUAUAUAUAUAUAUAUAACAAUCAAUCAUUAAAUGUUAGCCCCUCUAUUCAUAAUUUUUUGUCAUGUCUGAUUUUUAAAUGAAUAAAUAAUAUAAAUCUAAUUAAAAUAUAUAUAUUAUAUAACUGAAAACUAUAGGAAAAUAUAUCAUUUUAAAAUAUUAUUUUUACUUAUUAAAAGGAAUAAAAAAAUAUAUUUAAUUAAUCAAUCAAAAAUUAUAGAUAAAAAUGGCGCCUUCCUUAGCUGUGGUUAAGGAAGGAGUUGGCGCUUUCUCAGUGAAUACAACACGGUCUCUUGACACCAUUUAGUGGUAAGUGGAGUAUGCGGCGCGAAUUCUUUUUUUUAUUUAGUCAAUUUUCACUCAAGGCAGUUGGUCAUCAAUGUAUUAACCUGAUGCCAACUCCCAUGUCUUAAACAAAAAAUGACAUUCUCAACACCUUAUACAUAUAUGUAUAUAUUCAAAACAAAGUAGGCGACAACUCUUAUUCAAAAUAAGAGUUAACACUUAUUUUGAAAUAAAUAUUAACGAAUACAUACAUACAUACAUACAUACAUAUAUAUAUAUACACACAUUAUUAAGUUCUUUGAAGACACAUUCAGAUUUGACUUUACUGCUUGAUUUUGGAACCACUAUUAUGUUAACUUGAUUAAUUUUUCGUUAAGUAAAUACAACGAACAAAUUCGUACGUAUUGAUGUUUAGUGCACUGGUCUGGCUCGCAAACGACUAACACUGAUAUCAACUUCAUACCAUCUUUGAUAAAUAAACUUGACCAGUCCAUUCCAUGUUAGAAAUGCUUCAAUAUCUAAUCACGAAUAACUAGAGUGUCGAUACUGAAAACCCCUGGCACUUGAUACUAAAUUAGUAGACAACUUAUGUUCCCUAAAACAACUUGUACUUUAUUUUUUACUGAGGUCUGAACAUAUUAAUGAAUUUCUUUUCAAUGAUCUUGUGAUUGCUUUAGUUUGUUUGAUCUUCUAAUUUCUUAUGUACCUGUUCUUCAAGCUGUCGAUUCUUGUAUCGAACUUAUUUAUUGUUUCAUGUCUUGAUUAUAGUCUUUAAGUUAUCGCUAUUACAAAUUAUGUUACAUUAUGUCUUACAAUAUAAUUUCAUUCCAGUAACUCUUAAACAUCAAUUUUGGAGUCAAUCAUCCAACAAACAUUAUCACUCACACAAUCAAUCCUCUUUUUAAUCAAAUAAUGUAUAACAUGUGAUGAUCCCUAAAUAUUGUGUGUUAAACUCAAUAGGCAUGCGUGUUAAUAUGGAGGCACUGUGGAUAGAGUUGGUCAAACAGAUGAUUUAGCGUUGCCCGAAUUGUUGACAAGCACGGUCAAAGUACAACCUGAACCAUGUCGGGGUAAACCAACACAAAUCGCGGAGGAGAAGUGUUUAAUUUUCAGGAACAGUGAACCAGUGCAGCUCGUCUCGCUUUGACGAAUUGGUACGGUACGUGCUUAACCGGCACGACAACGACUAAGUGAAGGAUGUUUUGAUUUUUAUUAUUUUUAAUUCAUUUGUUUUAAGUAUUUGCUUUGUUUUAAGUUUUGGUUUCAUUUAAAAUACAGUUUUGUCAUAAAAGAAUGUGUUUAUUUUGUUUUGUAUAAAAUUAGAUUAUUUAAAUUAGAAAGUUUUUGAUAUGUUUAAGAUUAAGAUUUUAAUGUUUAUUAUUUUUUGUGUAUAUUAGAGUUUAUUUUUGUGUAUUAAAUAAUUUAAAUUUGAAUAAAUUCUAAUGUACAAACGAAUAUAUCCAUUAAAUGAAAUAACUUAAAUUUCAAUGAAUUCUAAUUUAUAAUCACUAAUCACAGUUAAAAAAUAUUAAUUUAUUGUUAAAAUUAGAAAUGAAUAUUUUAUUAAGAUAAUAUGUAAAAUUGAAUAAAAAAUAAAUGGCAAACCCGCCUCAUCAAACCACCAAAGCACGUCGUGCCGAUUACGGGUUAUCAUUUCCCAGUACAAGCCCAGCAUGGCCUGACCCGGCCCGCUUAGCAGUGUCGGUUUCAUAUUAGGGUAGAAUGAGCACGCCCUUCCAUUAAUCGACACGGCACGGCUCGAACCGCCCGUUUGACUGACACUGCUUGUGAAAUGACAAAAAAAAACAGGAUUAGAGUAUCUGUUAAAGGAUUACAAAGGUAAACUAAUGAAUAUGUAAUUCAUAAAUAUAAUAAACUUAUAGAAAAGGAAUAUAUUGAUACGAUUUGUGGUUCCCACAUUUUUUAAUAUAAAUGAUGAAUUUUAGAUUCAUUAGUAAACAAGAAUAAGAAUAUUAAUAAAAUCCAACAUGAUAGUUUAUGUAUAAACACAUAGUAUUUUUGGUAGAUCGAAUAUAGCAGGCCUAUAUAUUACUGAACAACAGCAUUCAGCGAUCAUUUUCAUAUCUCAAAACCAAAAUAUUAUCUUUAUCAGUUUAGUGUUCAAAAUGAAGUUCUGGUUUAUGUUUAUCAUGAUUUUGAUUGUAGGUACUGAAGAUGAAAUUAUCAACGAUAUUUAUGUUGAAGAAAUUCCCGUAAUCCAGAAUCGACAUCUUACUGAGUCUGAGGGAUCAAAUCCAUCAGCUUCAAAAAUAAAGAAAAGGAAAUGGGGAAAUCCAGGUACGAUUAUUUUAUUAGAUCACUAUAUCGAUUUUAAUAACAAGCAUAUAUCAAUUUUAGAAAAAGUCUAUGUCUUUUUGUUUAACUAUAUUCCAACUAUCUUGAAACUAAUAUUUCAUCAAGAUAUAGUUAAUCACUUUACCGUUUUUUUAUUGAUUGAUUUUUCUUUGAAAUACAUCAAUGAUGAUCUCACUUUAAAUGGAAUAUAUAAGUAUGAAUGUGGGUGCAAUUAGUUGUUUUAUGUUUGGUACAUUUGGAUCAAGCCCAUAUGAUGUUGACUAGGAUGGGCACGGGGGCGCUUUGGGGUCGGGGAGUGCUAUCCCCGUCCUCGAUCCCCGAAUCCAAUAUCCAUCUCCGACCCCGCCGCGAAUUCUGAAUGGAGAUUCUUUUCCUCUCCUAUCCCCGCCGCGAACCGGGAACGGGAUCCCCGCGGGGAUUCCGGUAAUCUUAUUUUCAAAUUAAAAAAAAUUAUAUAUAUAAUAUACAUUUUAAUUAAAAAAAUUAACUAUUAACUCCUAAUAUAUUAAUAAAAUGAACUAUCACAUAUUUUCAACAUCAAAUCAUAUUAAAAUUGAUUUGUAAUAUACAUAAAAAAAAUUGUGAAAUUAUAAAUAUAUUAUAUAACAAUAUAAUUAUAAUCGAUCAAUAAAAUAAAGAUUAUUUUUUAAUUUUAAUAAUACUAUAAAAAUUAAAGCGCAUUUCAAGUAAGUAGAGUAAAACCUGACCAGAUUUUUUGGAACUAAAGCUUUCUCUCUUUAUUAGACCUUCUUAGUGCCCAAAACAGACCUAUUUCUAAUUAUUUAAUUACUAUAAUAUAUAUACACACAUACAUACAAUCGAGGUAGGGGAUCGGGGCUGUGAGACACAAAUCUCCGACCCCGCCCUGAUCCCCGAAUUUUUUAUAAAAAAAUUUCGAUCCCCACCCCGCUCCGGGAAAAUUCACCGAAUCGCCGACCCGAAUGGGACGGGGAUCAGAUCGGAGUCGAGCGGGGCAGAAUAAAUACCAAUCCCUAAUGUUGACUAUUACAUCUUUUUUAAGAAAAAUAAGUUCCAAUUACUAAAAAAAAGUGUGUGUUAAAUAUGCCUCCUUAGGUGACAAAAA